This 116-nucleotide non-coding RNA is filed under the name uncultured eukaryote. The record is from RNAcentral.
GAUCGACAAGAAAAGAAAAGAUCCGCCCCCCAGAGACGAAACUAAACAAGCACAGCCGUGGCCUUUUCUUUCUUUUCUUUCUUGUUUCUUCUUCUUCUUCUUCUUCUUCUUUCUGU